AAAAAGUGUUCUUCAACGUUUGACCAUCAUCUUAUUUAAAAAAAAUUUAUGAUUAGUAUUAUUAGAUGAUAAAACAUGAAUAGUAUUUUAUGUGUGACUAUUUUUUAAAUAUUUACAUAAAUUUUUAAAAUAAAAUGGACGGUCAAACGUUGAACACAGAAACUCAUAAUUGCAUUUAAA
Non-coding RNA from Oryza glumipatula, 180 nucleotides. Lineage: Eukaryota; Viridiplantae; Streptophyta; Magnoliopsida; Poales; Poaceae. The record is from Rfam.